CCUACGUGAGGCAGCAGUGGGGAAUAUUGCACAAUGGGGGAAACCCUGAUGCAGCGACGCCGCGUGAGUGAAUAAUUAUUUCGGUAUGUAAAGCUCUAUCAGCAGGGAAGUAAAUGACGGUACCUGAUUAAGAAGCCCCGGCUAACUACGUGCCAGCAGCCGCGGGAAUACGUAGGGGGCAAGCGUUAUCCGUAUUUACUGGGUGUAAAGGGAGCGUAGACUGCAGCACACGUCUGGAGUGAAAUGCCGGGGCUUAACCCCGGAACUGCUUUGGAAACUGUGCAGCUAGAGUGCAGGAGAGGUAAGUGGAAGUCCUAGUGUAGCGGUGAAAUGCGUAGAUAUUAGGAGGAACGCCAGUGGCGAAGGCGGCUUACUGGACUGUAACUGACGUUGAGGCUCGAAAGCGUGGGGAGCAAACAGGAUUAGAUACCCUUGUAGUC
RNAcentral lists this ribosomal RNA (440 nucleotides) under uncultured bacterium. RNAcentral's name for it is "partial 16S ribosomal RNA". It matches the Rfam family "Bacterial small subunit ribosomal RNA", at positions 338 to 795 of the family's 1533-position model. The record is from RNAcentral.